AGUUGUCUUGGAGGGGAGUACCCCAGUCUUUUGGCAUUGAUCGUCAACACGGUGGUUGCGUUGUGAGUGACCCCCGGUCAUGCCAGCCCGUUUCUUCGCGCAACGGGCGGGGGAGACCUCCGGUCAUUUC
RNAcentral lists this small RNA (130 nucleotides) under Corynebacterium epidermidicanis. RNAcentral's name for it is "yybP-ykoY leader". The record is from RNAcentral. Lineage: Bacteria; Bacillati; Actinomycetota; Actinomycetes; Mycobacteriales; Corynebacteriaceae.